UGUUAUUAGUCAAGUUGGUGAUUCCAGCAGUGAUGAAGCAGUAAUGUGUUAGGAGAACCUUUGUUGGUUUCUUCGAGGAAAUAUAAUUGUACGCUUGGCUUCUGAGCUCAAAUACUUUUGACUUCUUUUUAAAUUGUUUUGUAAUAUUCUAACUAUGUUAUUAGUCAUGUUGGUAAUUCCAGCAGUGAUGAAGCAGUAAUGUGUUAGAAGAACCUUUGUUGGUUUCUUCAAGGAAAUAUAAUUAUACGCUUGGCUUCUGAGCUCAAAUACUUUUGACUUCUUUUUAAAUUGUUUUGUAAUAUUCUAACUAUGUUAUUAGUCAUGUUGGUAAUUCCAGCAGUGAUGAAGCAUUAAUGUGUUAGGAGAACCUUCAUUUGGUUUCUUCGAGGACAUAUACUUGUACGCUUGGCUUCUGAGCUCAAAUGCUUGAACUUGCUUGUUGCAUAGUUUCAUUUCCUUAAAAUUUUAUUCAAAUGAUCUCAACAUGAUGUACUUAGGUUUUGACUCCUGAAAGGGAAAACACUUAGAAGACAAUUGUAUGUGGAUUGGUUGCUUAUGUGCUUGUGUUGGAUGUUGUUAGGCC
Molecule: long non-coding RNA, 583 nt
Filed under: Eucalyptus grandis
Lineage: Eukaryota; Viridiplantae; Streptophyta; Magnoliopsida; Myrtales; Myrtaceae
Description: long non-coding RNA (EGRA_LNC006148)
Rfam family: Small nucleolar RNA R24 (bases 24-110)
Source: RNAcentral